GCGGCCCGGGAAUCUACGUCACCCGAAAAGCGACUAUAAACGCCGGCGCCUCCGUCCCCAGCCGCGGCUCGGGAAUCCACCCGAAGAGUGGCUAUAAACGUCCGCGCCUCCAUUGCGCUCUCCUCUUCACUUAGACACUGGUCCUCCCACGCCUGACACCGACGUCGCCAGGACCGCGGGGUUGGGGGAACUUGGCUGUCCCACGUCUUUCAAAUAAAGCUGUUUUGUCUAACUCACUGCAUGCGGGUGUUCUUGGGGCCCCGACUCGCCUAUCAGCCUGGCGGCAAGUGCAUAUGUUCACGCUGUGGCGGGGAGAACCCUAGCGAGAUGCCUCCUCUUCUUUC
RNAcentral lists this long non-coding RNA (344 nucleotides) under Homo sapiens (human). RNAcentral describes it as "non-protein coding SNHG9:3". Lineage: Eukaryota; Metazoa; Chordata; Mammalia; Primates; Hominidae. The record is from RNAcentral.